This 301-nucleotide small nuclear RNA is filed under the name Camelus bactrianus (Bactrian camel). RNAcentral describes it as "7SK RNA". It matches the Rfam family "7SK RNA". From Rfam's summary of the family: 7SK was discovered as an abundant small nuclear RNA in the mid-70s but a possible function has only recently been suggested. Two independent studies have found that 7SK RNA binds the CDK9/cyclin T complex (known as elongation factor P-TEFb). RNAcentral also lists the same sequence under 2 other names. The record is from Rfam by way of RNAcentral. Lineage: Eukaryota; Metazoa; Chordata; Mammalia; Artiodactyla; Camelidae.
GGAUGUGAGGGUGAUCUGGCUGCGACAUCUGUCACUCCAUUGAUCGCCAGGGUUGAUUUGGCUGAUCUGGCUGGCUAAGCGGGUGUCCCCUUCCUCCCUCACCACUCCAUGUGCAUCCCUCCUGAAGCUGUGCGCCCAGUCGAAGAGGACAACCAUCUCCGAUAGAGGAGGACCCUUUUUCUCGGUCAAGGGUAUACGAGUAGCUGCUACCCCCUGCUAGAACCUCCAAACGAGCUCUCAGGAAUCCCAGAAGCUUGCCAUAGCUGUAUGCAAAAAUGGUCCCCAUCAGUGUCCUUCCCAU